RNAcentral lists this long non-coding RNA (450 nucleotides) under Citrus maxima (pomelo). Its description in RNAcentral is "long non-coding RNA (CMAX_LNC002743)". Lineage: Eukaryota; Viridiplantae; Streptophyta; Magnoliopsida; Sapindales; Rutaceae. The record is from RNAcentral.
CUUACACUUUCAACCAUUCAGCAUUUUAGUAUCAGAUGAAGUACAAACAAAACCAUGGAGAGGGGCAUCCAAUAUAACAACCUUGCAAAGCUAGAGCCCUUGCACUUGAUGCAUAUAUAAGAGAAUUACAAUUCAGGUGAAUCAGAUGAAUUUGGAGUAAAAAACAUGUAUCAGCUUAUUCCAUGAAUACACACAGAACAUUCAAAGCCUAGUUUUUAGGCUAAAUUAAGUAAUUACAUGCAUUUUUUUAUUUUUAAGUCAAUAUGCAUUUCCAGGAAUAUGUCUAAUAUCAUAUAUCCAGGAAUAUAAGAAGCAAAGAGAAAACAGGGAGAGGGAUCUGCAAGGGAGAGAGUGGUCUGUAAAGUCACCUGCUCAGCAGCUCGACCACCAAGUGUCAUGCAUGUCAUGUCAAACAGCUGCUCUUUGGUCAUCAGAAGAUUUUCAUUGGGC